Molecule: transfer RNA, 73 nt
Filed under: Bacteroidales bacterium
Lineage: Bacteria; Pseudomonadati; Bacteroidota; Bacteroidia; Bacteroidales
Description: tRNA-Ala
Rfam family: tRNA
About the family: Transfer RNA (tRNA) molecules are approximately 80 nucleotides in length. Their secondary structure includes four short double-helical elements and three loops (D, anti-codon, and T loops).
Source: RNAcentral
GGGGCAUUAGCUCAUCUGGUAGAGCGUUUCGUUCGCAACGAAGAGGUAGGCGGUUCGAGUCCGCUAUGCUCCA